CUAUAAAGCUCCUCUGGUGAGGCUGGCACUUCUCCUGGUUUAGCUCUGCAGCCAGAGCUUUUCUCUGAGAAAGAUGAUGAACCUUUACGGGAAAAGAAGGCUUCAGUGUCAAGAGUGAAUGAUUUUGUUUUAUGAGUGGUUUUUGUUCAUCUUUGUUCUGCCCUUGGCUAAAGGAGACUUACAGAGUGGGCACGCUGUUAAAGUAUGGUGCUCGUAACUUUUUUCCUCUGCAUGUGC
This 237-nucleotide long non-coding RNA is filed under the name Anas platyrhynchos platyrhynchos (common mallard). RNAcentral's name for it is "lncRNA (ENSAPLG00000019892.1)". Lineage: Eukaryota; Metazoa; Chordata; Aves; Anseriformes; Anatidae. The record is from RNAcentral.